UGGGGAAUUUUGGACAAUGGGGGAAACCCUGAUCCAGCCAUCCCGCGUGUGCGAUGAAGGCCUUCGGGUUGUAAAGCACUUUUGGCAGGAAAGAAACGUCAUGGGUUAAUACCCCGUGAAACUGACGGUACCUGCAGAAUAAGCACCGGCUAACUACGUGCCAGCAGCCGCGGUAAUACGUAGGGUGCAAGCGUUAAUCGGAAUUACUGGGCGCAAAGCGUGCGCAGGCGGUUCGGAAAGAAAGAUGUGAAAUCCCAGAGCUCAACUUUGGAACUGCAUUUUUAACUACCGGGCUAGAGUGUGUCAGAGGGAGGUGGAAUUCCGCGUGUAGCAGUGAAAUGCGUAGAUAUGCGGAGGAACACCGAUGGCGAAGGCAGCCUCCUGGGAUAACACUGACGCUCAUGCACGAAAGCGUGGGGAGCAAACAGG
Molecule: ribosomal RNA, 429 nt
Filed under: Acidobacteriota bacterium
Lineage: Bacteria; Pseudomonadati; Acidobacteriota
Description: Acidobacteria bacterium partial 16S ribosomal RNA
Rfam family: Bacterial small subunit ribosomal RNA
Source: RNAcentral